This 1201-nucleotide ribosomal RNA is filed under the name Staphylococcus aureus. RNAcentral describes it as "partial 23S ribosomal RNA". It matches the Rfam family "Bacterial large subunit ribosomal RNA", at positions 390 to 1593 of the family's 2925-position model. Lineage: Bacteria; Bacillati; Bacillota; Bacilli; Caryophanales; Staphylococcaceae. The record is from RNAcentral.
GUCUCUCUUGAGUGGAUCCUGAGUACGACGGAGCACGUGAAAUUCCGUCGGAAUCUGGGAGGACCAUCUCCUAAGGCUAAAUACUCUCUAGUGACCGAUAGUGAACCAGUACCGUGAGGGAAAGGUGAAAAGCACCCCGGAAGGGGAGUGAAAUAGAACCUGAAACCGUGUGCUUACAAGUAGUCAGAGCCCGUUAAUGGGUGAUGGCGUGCCUUUUGUAGAAUGAACCGGCGAGUUACGAUUUGAUGCAAGGUUAAGCAGUAAAUGUGGAGCCGUAGCGAAAGCGAGUCUGAAUAGGGCGUUUAGUAUUUGGUCGUAGACCCGAAACCAGGUGAUCUACCCUUGGUCAGGUUGAAGUUCAGGUAACACUGAAUGGAGGACCGAACCGACUUACGUUGAAAAGUGAGCGGAUGAACUGAGGGUAGCGGAGAAAUUCCAAUCGAACCUGGAGAUAGCUGGUUCUCUCCGAAAUAGCUUUAGGGCUAGCCUCAAGUGAUGAUUAUUGGAGGUAGAGCACUGUUUGGACGAGGGGCCCCUCUCGGGUUACCGAAUUCAGACAAACUCCGAAUGCCAAUUAAUUUAACUUGGGAGUCAGAACAUGGGUGAUAAGGUCCGUGUUCGAAAGGGAAACAGCCCAGACCACCAGCUAAGGUCCCAAAAUAUAUGUUAAGUGGAAAAGGAUGUGGCGUUGCCCAGACAACUAGGAUGUUGGCUUAGAAGCAGCCAUCAUUUAAAGAGUGCGUAAUAGCUCACUAGUCGAGUGACACUGCGCCGAAAAUGUACCGGGGCUAAACAUAUUACCGAAGCUGUGGAUUGUCCUUUGGACAAUGGUAGGAGAGCGUUCUAAGGGCGUUGAAGCAUGAUCGUAAGGACAUGUGGAGCGCUUAGAAGUGAGAAUGCCGGUGUGAGUAGCGAAAGACGGGUGAGAAUCCCGUCCACCGAUUGACUAAGGUUUCCAGAGGAAGGCUCGUCCGCUCUGGGUUAGUCGGGUCCUAAGCUGAGGCCGACAGGCGUAGGCGAUGGAUAACAGGUUGAUAUUCCUGUACCACCUAUAAUCGUUUUAAUCGAUGGGGGGACGCAGUAGGAUAGGCGAAGCGUGCGAUUGGAUUGCACGUCUAAGCAGUAAGGCUGAGUAUUAGGCAAAUCCGGUACUCGUUAAGGCUGAGCAGUGAUGGGGAGAAGACAUUGUGUCUUCGAGUCG